RNAcentral lists this ribosomal RNA (486 nucleotides) under uncultured bacterium. RNAcentral describes it as "partial 16S ribosomal RNA". It matches the Rfam family "Bacterial small subunit ribosomal RNA", at positions 30 to 507 of the family's 1533-position model. The record is from RNAcentral.
AUUGAACGCUGGCGGCAUGCCUUACACAUGCAAGUCGAACGGCAGCACGGGUGCUUGCACCUGGUGGCGAGUGGCGAACGGGUGAGUAAUACAUCGGAACAUGUCCUGUAGUGGGGGAUAGCCCGGCGAAAGCCGGAUUAAUACCGCAUACGAUCUACGGAUGAAAGCGGGGGACCUUCGGGCCUCGCGCUAUAGGGUUGGCCGAUAGCUGAUUAGCUAGUUGGUGGGGUAAAGGCCUACCAAGGCGACGAUCAGUAGCUGGUCUGAGAGGACGACCAGCCACACUGGGACUGAGACACGGCCCAGACUCCUACGGGAGGCAGCAGUGGGGAAUUUUGGACAAUGGGCGAAAGCCUGAUCCAGCAAUGCCGCGUGUGUGAAGAAGGCCUUCGGGUUGUAAAGCACUUUUGUCCGGAAAGAAAUCCUUGGCUCUAAUACAGUGGGGGGAUGACGGUACCGGAAGAAUAAGCACCGGCUAACUACGUG